GUCGCGACCUCCCGGCGGUCCGUGGACUCCAUGCCAGACUUUGAGGGAGCGGCCCCCCAGCACCCGAAGUCUGCAGUGGGGAACCCUGCCGCGAUGCUGGUGCGCUCGCACAGAUUCCCGAACCUCGCAUGGUGUGUCUCCCAGAGCACUUUCCUCCAGUCCUACCGGCCACACAAGGAACCUUUGAUCCGCAUACAGUACAGAUGACAGCCUGGGAAAAACCUGGACUGUGAUGGCGCCACAGGACCGUACCCCUUCCCACCUGUGCGAACCGUUUGGGGGAGAUGACUGAAGACAGAAACCAGAGAACACUUUCACAACUGAGGAGCGAAACACUAGCCGACACUUAAAACAGGCAGCGAGUUGCUAACUCCCGCAGCUUGCUCUUCUCAGCAUGAACUCUGGUUGACCGUAGUGCAUGCAGGACUUUGGGCCAAUGCAUAGGUGGAGAUAAGAACAGAGCCCAGUUUUGAGGACUUUGGGGAUAACAAAAUGAUUUUAUUACACAUAAAGUGUGUUCAGACACAGUGUCUGACACAGUAAAUGCUCGAUGAAACUCGCUGUUCUUUUCCUUUUCAAUUUGUCAUAGGCCCUGAGGGCAGGGACCCCAGCUUGCUUCUCACCUCUGCAUCCCAAGUGCCAGGUGGGUGAUCAGUUAGCUCAUUCUGUCUUCACCUGCUCCCGUCUCACGGAGGAAGGAGCUGCUGUCUACCAUGUGGCUUCAGAGAAGACCAGGCUGGGACCAAGGUUGAGGUGGCUGGUUGAGCAGUCCAAGCAUAGGCUGGAGGGCUUCCUGGUGAGAGAUUGGGCUCCUGGGUCCCGGAGGUGCACAGAAGGCUGCAGAGGGGACCCUGGCUGACGGCUGGACUGGGUGGCCCUGCCUGGGGGUCGUGUUUCUAAGUGAAAAGCAGCUUAACCAUUGCUAGAGCCUUUGCCGUCCUGCGGUUGUGAGAAGGGCUGGGGAGGUUUGAGGGGUGCAGGAGAAGCUCCCUCGUUGAGGGUGGGAAGGGUCAGGGAGCAGGGAGAGGAGGGGAAGGGCAGGCCUUGAAGCUCGUGCAGCAGCGUCUAGGAAUGGACAAGCUCGAGGGUGGGUGGGGUGGGGUAUCUGUGGGUGGGCCCCUGGCCUGACUCGGCCUGCGUCCAUGGCCCCUCUUUUCCCU
Bos indicus x Bos taurus (hybrid cattle) is the source of this 1160-nucleotide long non-coding RNA. NCBI's taxonomy places the organism in Eukaryota, Metazoa, Chordata, Mammalia, Artiodactyla, Bovidae. The record is from Ensembl.